UAACAAAAACAUUUCUAUUAGAUUUUAUUAAUAGUAUAAUCUGCUCAAUGAUAUUAAAUAGCCGCUAUUACUGUGCUAAGGUAGCAUAAUCAUUUGUCUUUUAAUUAAAGACUAGAACAAAAGAUUGAACAUUUUAAUUAAUAUAUCCAAACUAAUUAAUUAAAUUUAUUUUAAAUGUAAAAAAACAUUUAUAAAUUAGAAAGACGAUAAGACCCUAUUAAACUUAACUUAAGUUAAACUGGGGCAGUUAAUUAAUUAUCAUUUUAAUUUAAAUACAAAAACAAAUAGAUCCUAUAAAAUAGAUUAAAUGAUCAAGUUACUAUAGGGAUAACAGCGUAAUAUUAAUUAAAAGACCUUAUUAAAAUAAAAGAUUACGACCUCGAUGUUGAAUUAAUAACCUAUAUAGUUGCAAUAAACAAUAAAGG
This 425-nucleotide ribosomal RNA is filed under the name Amaurobioides sp. BDO-19. Its description in RNAcentral is "partial 16S ribosomal RNA". The record is from RNAcentral. Lineage: Eukaryota; Metazoa; Arthropoda; Arachnida; Araneae; Anyphaenidae.